AGCGAACGCUGGCGGCAGGCCUAACACAUGCAAGUCGAACGAUCCUUCGGGAUAGUGGCGGACGGGUGAGUAACACGUGGGAACGUGCCUUUUGGUUCGGAACAACUCAGGGAAACUUGAGCUAAUACCGAAUGUGCCCUUGGGGGAAAGAUUUAUCGCCAUUAGAGCGGCCCGCGUCUGAUUAGCUUGUUGGUGAGGUA
Molecule: ribosomal RNA, 200 nt
Filed under: uncultured bacterium
Lineage: Bacteria
Description: partial 16S ribosomal RNA
Rfam family: Bacterial small subunit ribosomal RNA
Source: RNAcentral